CUGAGUACUACACUCUCUAACCCUUUGUGAACCUACGUAUACCUGUUGCUUCGGCGGGACGCCCGGCGCCUCGGGCCGGAACAGGGCCCGCCGGAGGCUCAUCAAACCCUCAUGUCUUUCGACCCGACGUAUCUCUCUGAGUGUUACAAUUAACGAACUAAGUCA
Molecule: unclassified non-coding RNA, 165 nt
Filed under: soil metagenome
Description: partial internal transcribed spacer 1
Source: RNAcentral